This 468-nucleotide ribosomal RNA is filed under the name uncultured bacterium. RNAcentral describes it as "partial 16S ribosomal RNA". It matches the Rfam family "Bacterial small subunit ribosomal RNA", at positions 28 to 507 of the family's 1533-position model. The record is from RNAcentral.
GACGAACGCUGGCGGCGUGCUUAACACAUGCAAGUCGAACGGAAAGGCCCUGCUUUUGUGGGGUGCUCGAGUGGCGAACGGGUGAGUAACACGUGAGUAACCUGCCCUUGACUUUGGGAUAACUUCAGGAAACUGGGGCUAAUACCGGAUAGGAGCUCCUGCUGCAUGGUGGGGGUUGGAAAGUUUCGGCGGUUGGGGAUGGACUCGCGGCUUAUCAGCUUGUCGGUGGGGUAGUGGCUUACCAAGGCUUUGACGGGUAGCCGGCCUGAGAGGGUGACCGGCCACAUUGGGACUGAGAUACGGCCCAGACUCCUACGGGAGGCAGCAGGGGGAAAUAUUGCACAAUGGGCGGAAGCCUGAUGCAGCAACGCCGCGUGCGGGAUGACGGCCUUCGGGUUGUAAACCGCUUUCGCCUGUGACGAAGCGUGAGUGACGGUAAUGGGUAAAGAAGCACCGGCUAACUACGUG